AGGUGCAGCGGCGUCUGUGGUUCUCCAAGUGUGAUAUUCGGGUGUGUAAUCAGCUGGGGAAGUUGGGCUACCAAUGUAAUGCCAAUGGGGCCUUCCUAUGGGAAGAUGAUGUAGCUGAACAGGUCGCUGUUGUUGAAAUGGGCGAAUUGCCCAACUUGUCCGCGUAAUAAAGCUAUACUUUACCCCAAAAAAAUGAUUUUCCUAUCUAGUGGAGCUUGGAGACCAGCUAGCACGUUGUCUACUUGAU
RNAcentral lists this long non-coding RNA (247 nucleotides) under Hordeum vulgare. RNAcentral's name for it is "long non-coding RNA (HVUL_LNC019934)". The record is from RNAcentral. Lineage: Eukaryota; Viridiplantae; Streptophyta; Magnoliopsida; Poales; Poaceae.